This 691-nucleotide ribosomal RNA is filed under the name Pseudomonas sp. RNAcentral's name for it is "bacterial SSU rRNA". It matches the Rfam family "Bacterial small subunit ribosomal RNA", at positions 329 to 1013 of the family's 1533-position model. Lineage: Bacteria; Pseudomonadati; Pseudomonadota; Gammaproteobacteria; Pseudomonadales; Pseudomonadaceae. The record is from RNAcentral.
GCCCCUACUCCUACGGGAGGCAGCAGUGGGGAAUAUUGGACAAUGGGCGAAAGCCUGAUCCAGCCAUGCCGCGUGUGUGAAGAAGGUCUUCGGAUUGUAAAGCACUUUAAGUUGGGAGGAAGGGUUGUAGAUUAAUACUCUGCAAUUUUGACGUUACCGACAGAAUAAGCACCGGCUAACUCUGUGCCAGCAGCCGCGGUAAUACAGAGGGUGCAAGCGUUAAUCGGAAUUACUGGGCGUAAAGCGCGCGUAGGUGGUUCGUUAAGUUGGAUGUGAAAUCCCCGGGCUCAACCUGGGAACUGCAUCCAAAACUGGCGAGCUAGAGUAUGGUAGAGGGUGGUGGAAUUUCCUGUGUAGCGGUGAAAUGCGUAGAUAUAGGAAGGAACACCAGUGGCGAAGGCGACCACCUGGACUGAUACUGACACUGAGGUGCGAAAGCGUGGGGAGCAAACAGGAUUAGAUACCCUGGUAGUCCACGCCGUAAACGAUGUCAACUAGCCGUUGGGAGCCUUGAGCUCUUAGUGGCGCAGCUAACGCAUUAAGUUGACCGCCUGGGGAGUACGGCCGCAAGGUUAAAACUCAAAUGAAUUGACGGGGGCCCGCACAAGCGGUGGAGCAUGUGGUUAGUUUGAAGCAACGCGAAGAACCUUACCAGGCCUUGACAUCCAAUGAACUUCCUAGAGAUGGACUC